This 535-nucleotide long non-coding RNA is filed under the name Capsella rubella. RNAcentral describes it as "long non-coding RNA (CRUB_LNC003810)". The record is from RNAcentral. Lineage: Eukaryota; Viridiplantae; Streptophyta; Magnoliopsida; Brassicales; Brassicaceae.
CUGCUUCUACUUUUUGGUUCUUUUGAAUUGUUACACUAACCCUUGCUGGGUUGAUGACAUCAGAUGAAGCUUCUUUGAAGAACCGGCGGCUCCCAAAGGGAUAUUUCAAAGGGAAGAACAGAAGGCAGCUUCAUCUGACAAGCGAGUGAACCAGAAGACAUCUUCAGGCGAUCAGUCAGGUAAAGACGGGUAAAGCUAAGAAUACACAAUUAUGGGCUCAUUGCUCUUACCCUAGGUAGAUAGUGGCCAUUGGUGGACAUCACCUUCUGCGCCCUAGCCAGGAUUUACCAACUGGCUUAAAGCAAAAAGAACCGAUGAUAUCGCUACAAGAAAAGCUGUGGCUGCAACUGAGACUCAGCUAAAGAGGCUAUUGUGAAGCUUUUGGGUACUGAUACAAACUGUGCCUGUGGUAAUGUUUGAGAUUUGAGGGUAACAUCUCUAUAGAAAAAAGGCUUCAGAUUGGAUUCAGGGAAGUAAGAAAAAAGCUCCUUGUUAGUUGUUACCAUAUAAAGAAGGAUCGGUCACCAACUGUUUC